This 467-nucleotide ribosomal RNA is filed under the name uncultured bacterium. Its description in RNAcentral is "partial 16S ribosomal RNA". It matches the Rfam family "Bacterial small subunit ribosomal RNA", at positions 28 to 506 of the family's 1533-position model. The record is from RNAcentral.
GACGAACGCUGGCGGCGUGCUUAACACAUGCAAGUCGAACGGUGAUGCUCCAGCUUGCUGGAGUGGAUCAGUGGCGAACGGGUGAGUAACACGUGAGCAACCUGCCCCAGACUCUGGAAUAAGCGCUGGAAACGGCGUCUAAUACUGGAUACGAAACUGGCCCGCAUGGGCAUGGUUUGGAAAGUUUUUCGGUUUGGGAUGGGCUCGCGGCCUAUCAGCUUGUUGGUGAGGUAAUGGCUCACCAAGGCGACGACGGGUAGCCGGCCUGAGAGGGCGACCGGCCACACGGGGAAUGAGACACGGCCCAGACCCCUCCGGGGGGCAGCGGUGGGGAAUAUUGCAAAAUGGGCGAAACCCUGAUGCAGCGCCCCCGGGUGGGGGAUGACGGCCUUGGGGUUGAAACCCUCUUUCCGCAGGGAAGAAGCGAAAGGGACGGUACCUGCAGAAGAAGCACCGGCAAACUCCGU